GACGAACGCUGGCGGCGUGCUUAACACAUGCAAGUCGAACGGAAAGGCCCUGCUUUUGUGGGGUGCUCGAGUGGCGAACGGGUGAGUAACACGUGAGUAACCUGCCCUUGACUUUGGGAUAACUUCAGGAAACUGGGGCUAAUACCGGAUAGGAGCUCCUGCUGCAUGGUGGGGGUUGGAAAGUUUCGGCGGUUGGGGAUGGACUCGCGGCUUAUCAGCUUGUUGGUGGGGUAGUGGCUUACCAAGGCUUUGGCGGGUAGCCGGCCUGAGAGGGUGACCGGCCACAUUGGGGCUGAGGUACGGCCCAGGCUCCUACGGGGGGCAGCAGUGGGGAAUAUUGCACAAUGGGCGGGAGCCUGAUGCAGCAACGCCGCGUGCGGGAUGACGGCCUUCGGGUUGUAAACCGCUUUCGCCUGUGACGAAGCGUGAGUGGCGGUAAUGGGUAAAGAAGCGCCGGCUAACUACGGUC
RNAcentral lists this ribosomal RNA (469 nucleotides) under uncultured bacterium. RNAcentral's name for it is "partial 16S ribosomal RNA". It matches the Rfam family "Bacterial small subunit ribosomal RNA", at positions 28 to 508 of the family's 1533-position model. The record is from RNAcentral.